Molecule: small nuclear RNA, 139 nt
Organism: Artibeus jamaicensis (Jamaican fruit-eating bat)
Lineage: Eukaryota; Metazoa; Chordata; Mammalia; Chiroptera; Phyllostomidae
Product: U4 spliceosomal RNA
Exons: 1
Source: RefSeq, a predicted model, not a curated record
AGCUUUGUGCAUUGACACUGUCGUAGCCAAUGAGGUUUAUCCAAGGCACAAUUAUUGCUAAUUGAAAUAAGUAAAUCUAUGUAAAUGUAUAAAGGCACUUUAGAUCCUCUUCUUCAUUAUUAUUUUAUAGCUGCAUAGU